CAGAACACGGCCCUGCCACCAUCCCAGCAGCUGACAGCGAGCAGGGACAGCGGCAGCCACCAUCCGUGGCAACAGGGACCUGUCACCAUCCCUGGGCACAUGCCUGCAGUUCCCUGGCACUGCAAGGGGCUUCAUCCCUGCAGGAAGCCAGACCUGCUGCCAACACAAGGACUCAUUUUGCCUAGCAUGCCAUGCCCAGGCAUGGCUCUCCAAGCUGCCACGGCCCUGCACUCUGCUGGGCCCACCGGCAACACCUAUCCAGCACUGACCCAUUGAGAGACUCCACCCAGCCUCAUUCUGCCCCUCCAGCCCAGCACUGCUCUUAACUGAGUUUAAAGUUUUCCCACACCCCAUGAAUACCAAUGAACAAAUAACCAGAGCACAAGAGCUGAGGAGCUGUCAGCAGGUAAAGGGCUGGUGAACCCCUGUGGGACAUCACUCUGCCAGUUUGUUCCAAAGGGGAGGAGGAAGGGCCUCAUGAGUCCCCAUCCCACUUCUCCACCUCCAGCAUCCCCAGUACAAGGACUUUACAAGGCCAAGGGGGCUCGAGGGUCUCUGCCUGCUUUCUCAGGGACCCCUGCACUUGCUGGGCUGCUGUGAGAGCAGCACAACCUGACCUCGAACACCCCAUGUGUGACGAGGACUGCAUGGAGACAUGCCCCCAGGGGAGCCACAGGGACUGCAGGACUCCAGCUCCCUACAGAGACUUCAUGUGACACAAGUAAACACC
Long non-coding RNA from Poecile atricapillus (Black-capped chickadee), 730 nucleotides. RefSeq lists it as uncharacterized. The transcript is spliced from 3 exons. The record is from RefSeq and is a predicted model, not a curated record. Lineage: Eukaryota; Metazoa; Chordata; Aves; Passeriformes; Paridae.